AUUGAACGCUGGCGGCGUGCCUAACACAUGCAAGUCGAGCGGCAGCGCGGGAGCAAUCCUGGCGGCGAGCGGCGGACGGGUGAGUAAUGCUUGGGAAUCUGCCUGUUAGUGGGGGACAACCCGGGGAAACGUCGGGCUAAUACCGCAUACGCACUACGGUGGAAAGCCGGGGACCGCAAGGCCUGGCGCUAACAGAUGAGCCCAAGUCGGAUUAGCUAGUUGGUAGGGUAACGGCCACCAAGGCGACGAUCCGUAACUGGUCUGAGAGGACGACCAGUCACACCGGAACUGAGACACGGUCCGGACUCCUACGGGAGGCAGCAGUGGGGAAUAUUGGACAAUGGGGAAACCCUGAUCCAGCGACGCCGCGUGGGUGAAGAAGGCCUGCGGGUUGUAAAGCCCUUUCAGUGGGGAAG
This 416-nucleotide ribosomal RNA is filed under the name uncultured bacterium. RNAcentral describes it as "bacterial SSU rRNA". It matches the Rfam family "Bacterial small subunit ribosomal RNA", at positions 29 to 447 of the family's 1533-position model. The record is from RNAcentral.